Molecule: non-coding RNA, 387 nt
Organism: Vicugna pacos (alpaca)
Lineage: Eukaryota; Metazoa; Chordata; Mammalia; Artiodactyla; Camelidae
Source: RefSeq, a predicted model, not a curated record
GGGCCAGGGCCAGGGCCAGGGCCAUAGGGACUGGUAAAAGUUUCUGGCUAAGCCCGGAUCAAGCCAUUCCAAGGGACAGCUGGAGUGUCUCUGCAGUCAGCGCCUGGAAAGGGGCCAGCUCAGCCUCAAGCCUGAGCCAAACACAUGCAGCCUCAAGGAUGGAUGGAGAAAUACGCUUGGGUCCAACCUGUUUGGGGUGGCAAAGCAGGGGAAUGUGAGCCUAGAGGCUGUCCUGCUGGGAGCCUGCCGGAAGGUGGAUGAGCACAAAGGGAAGCAGAGCUGGGAGAGGGACACGGAUUUGCACAGCUGAGAUCCAGCUGUGCCUGAAGUUGGUACUGUCCUGGGCUUUUCCAUCACAAGAGCUGAUAAAAGUCUUCUCUGCUCAAA